AGGGCGGGGGCUCCGUCUCCGGCCUCCGCCUCCCGCGGCGUCCACACUCGCGGCGGCCGGGCUGGACCUCGCUGGCCCGCGGCGCCAUGAGCCGCAGUCUGGACGCCGCGCGGAGCUUCCUGGAGCGGCUGGAGGCGCGGGGCGGCCGGGAGGGGGCCGUCCUCGCCGGCGAGUUCAGAGACAUCCAGGCCCGCUCGGCCGCCUGGAAGGCUGAUGGCAUGUGCUCCACCAAGGCAGGCAGUCGGCCAGAGAACAUGAGGAAGAACCGCUACAAAGACGUGCUGCCAUAUGAUCAGACGCGAGUAGUCCUCUCCCUGCUCCAGGAAGAGGGACAAAGCGACUACAUUAAUGGCAACUUCAUCCGGGGCGUGGAUGGAAGCCUGGCCUACAUUGCCACUCAAGGACCCUUGCCUCACACCCUGCUAGACUUCUGGAGACUGGUCUGGGAGUUUGGGGUCAAGGUGAUCCUGAUGGCCUGCCGGGAGAUAGAGAACGGGCGGAAAAGGUGUGAGCGGUACUGGGCCCAGGAGCAGGAGCCACUGCAGACUGGGCUUUUCUGCAUCACUCUGAUUAAGGAGAAGUGGCUGAAUGAGGACAUCAUGCUGAGGACCCUCAAGGUCACAUUCCAGAAGGAGUCCCGUUCUGUGUCCCAGCUACAGUAUAUGUCCUGGCCAGACCGUGGGGUCCCCAGCAGUCCUGACCACAUGCUUGCCAUGGUGGAGGAAGCCCGUCGCCUCCAGGGAUCUGGCCCUGAACCCCUCUGUGUCCACUGCAGUGCGGGCUGUGGGCGAACAGGUGUCCUGUGCACCGUGGAUUAUGUGAGGCAGCUGCUCCUGACCCAGAUGAUCCCAUCUGACUUCAGCCUCUUUGAUGUGGUCCUUGAGAUGAGGAAGCAGCGGCCUGCGGCCGUGCAGACAGAGGAGCAGUACAGGUUCCUGUACCACACGGUGGCCCAGAUGUUCUGCUCCACGCUCCAGAAUGCCAGCCCCCACUACCAGAACAUCAAAGAGAAUUGUGCCCCACUCUACGACGAUGCCCUCUUCCUCCGGACUCCCCAGGCACUUCUCGCCAUACCCCGCCCACCAGGAGGCGUCCUCAGGAGCAUCUCGGUGCCCGGGUCCCCGGGCCACGCCAUGGCUGACACCUACGCGGUGGUGCAGAAGCGCGGGGCUCCAGCGGGCGCCGGGCCGGGGCCGGAGACCGGGACGGGGGCGCGCAGCGCGGAGGAGGUGCCGCUCUACAGCCAGGUGACGCCGCGCGCCCAGCGGCCCGGGGGGCACGCGGAAGACGUGCGGGGCACGGUGCCUGGCCGCGUUCCUGCUGACCCAAGUCCUGCCGCAUCUGGCGCCUACGAGGACGUGGCGGGUGGAGCUCAGACCGGUGGGCUAGGUUUCAACCUGCGCAUUGGGAGGCCGAAGGGGCCCCGGGACCCCCCUGCUGAGUGGACCCGGGUGUGAGUCUGCGCCAGCUCCUGCCUGUUGCCUCGUGUGAGCUCGGACUGCUGUGUGCAGAAUGGAAACAGUGCGCCUGAAUCAAAAUAAAAGUUUCUCAGGGUGGGAAAUGCGGGGGCUUUGCCCCAGUGACUGUAGCAUUCAAGGCUUGAGGCUGGAGGAGGUAGGUUUGGUAUAAUGGCUGGUGAGGCUGCACGGAGCACAUUCAAGAAAGAAGAUCGGGAAGGGGCAUGGCCCCUGAGUUAUGAAGGGGAGAAUGGACAGAUGAGCUUCCAGAGACUGCUCGCCUUACCACAUAACACACUAGUCCAUCCUCAGCACCUGAGCCUGCCUCACUUGAACACUCAGGGGACCACACAGAGAAAUGGAUGGACCCCUCGCCAUCCAGGCAGACCGAUAAAAAGACCUCCAGAUAGGCAGACAGAUGGGUGGACCACCAAGCUGGACAGACAGCCAAACCUUCAGAGAUACAGUCCACAGGUGAACAAAGGGACCCCCAGCCAGAGAGACCACCAAACAGAGCCCCCAAAAGACAGACACCUCUGCCAGCUGGACAGCCAGGUGGACCCCUAAGUUAGAGAGAUGUAAACAGAUCCCCAGCUGAACAGACACACAGACUUCUCAGACCCUACCCCCAUCCCCCAGGUGGGCUGGCUGGCUGAAAAGACCUUCUGGCCAGACAGACUCCUAACCAACCAGAUGGACUGCCAGACAGACAGACAUCAGCCACAUGGAAUCCUGACAUCCCAGCCAGCCAGCCAGACUCUGAUCUUGAUGGGUGAACCCGUUGGUUGGUCAGACGUGAUCCUCCAGAUUGACAGAGAAGUCCCCCAAAUGAGUACAUAUCUCCAGCUAUUCAGACAGAUGGACCCCCAGCAAAUCAGGCCCUAUCUAGACCCCAGCCAAACAUACCCCCAACCAGACUGACCCCUUGCUGUUCACACAGCCUCCCGAGUAGCUGGGACUACAGGUCUAAUUUUUUUUUUUAUUUUUUAGAGAUGAGUUUGCCAUGUUGCCCAGGCUAGUCUCGAACUCCUGAGCUAAAGCAAUCCUCCUUCCUUAGCCUCCCAAAGUGCUGAGAUUAUAGGUGUGAGCCACCAGGCUCUGCCCUCUAAGAUUUGAAACACUUUAAAUGGCCCUAGCAGGUUUUAUCCUGCUAGGAUAAAACAUUAAGCAGCUGUUAAAAAAAUAAAAAAUAAAAAAGAGGAACCGCCUCUGUGCACUGGUGUGGACAAAUCUCCAAGUCACUGCAAAAUGGAAAAAUAUAAGAUGCUCUCUCCUGGAACCUCAAGGGUCCUGCCCCUCUCACCUUCAGGUCUCUGGACCUCUGACUGACACUGUGCCUGCCCAGGUCCCUGUCUGUACCGCCACAGUACCCUGGGUCCCAUGUCCACCCCUGUCCUGCCCUUCUCUGGGUGAGAGCUGGCCUUCCCCUGCCUCUGCCUGGCUGCAUCCUUGGUCGAUCUCAAGUGCCUUGGCAUGAACUCCACUCUCCUGCAGCCUUUAAUCAGGGAAUGAUGGGGGAUGUGUUCAUACCCCACCCCACCCCUUGGCCGGGUGAUGCUGAAAUGUGGAUUUUUAAUAGUUCCCAGACUUUUCCAGGAGGCUUGGGUUUGGGUGGCCACAGUGGGAGCUGGUGUGAUAUACCUUCGCUGGCCGCCUUUCCUUCCUGUUCUCUGUGCCCCUACUUCCCACUCUAGAACUGCCCUGUUUCUCUGUUUUCGUGAAAGAGCUGGCCCUGUGCUGCCUCCCACUCUCCCAAUGCCCCUGCCUCUCCUGUGAGCCUGCUACUGGUGAGGUCGGUGCUGACCUCUGUGUUGCUGGAUAAUGAGUCAUUUAUCUCUGGAGGAGAGGAAAGGCAGGUCCUCCACAGCCCUGAUAAAAUCUCCAAGUCUUGCAGUUUCAGGUCCUUCUCCUGGGAUGCAAUCCUACUGCCUGCCCAGGUGGCACAGUCCACAUCCCCUCUUCUUGGGAAUAGGGGCAUUGGAAAGUGACAGAAGAUACUGUUCUGGCUGCUGUGUUCACUAAUAUACAAAAUGGUCGAGGAGUCAUGAAUCCUCAAGAAAAUAUGAAAAAGACAAGUGUUUAUAAAGCCAUACCAGCAUCCAAUCAACGUCAGAAGCUUUAAGAGCUGAGAAGUGUCCAAACAUCAAGUGUACUUGAGAAGCGAUUUCCACUGGAUUCCAUUGCUCUCAAGUCGGCCCAGGCCCUGCAGCCUUACUUUUGAGGAUGACUUCUCCAAGAGGUCUGUCUGCCUGUCUGUCUGUUUGGGGACAGAUGAUUGAUGAGGUCAGCAAGCUGAACGUUGUGACCUCUCCAGCCCGAAACCUUUUUCAGACAAACCUGACCCCGUAGGCAUACUCACUUCAUCAGCUCCUGUGUCCCACGUGCCAGCAACAGAAUAAUGUGCCUGAGUAGUGUUCUCUGAGUGACUGAACUUUCCUGCUGUUCAGGCAGUCUAAUGAUGGGUCAGGAGAGCCUAAGAGGUAUUUGAAUUGAGGAGGAUUUUGAUUUCACUAGAAUAAUCAGACUUCAAGAUAUUCACCAUUAACACCAAGUAUGUGCAGCUCUCACUGUGAGUGUCUCUCUUCCUACACAAGUUUAUUGUUAAACUAUAUUUGUCCUUUUUUUUUUUUCCUGGAAAGGCAAGCGAGAUGUCUAGGGGAUUUUAUGUCUGAUAAAUGCUUCUAGUUGAAGAUGUAUUACCAAGAAAUUUAGACUCCCCAGGACUGAGGGGGGUGAUGAGUAUAUUUCUAGAAUGGCUUCACCAUUUGCUGGAAGACAGAAUAUGCUUCAUGGCUAUCUCCUACCAAUUUUUGGCUCCUUACUUCUCCCCAAUGCCCCACCCCUACUCUUUCCAACAUCAGCUAUUUUUAUGUUUUCCCCAAGUCUGAAGCUUCUCGAUAUAUGCAGUUUUGCAGAGACCCACAAUACUGUUUUCUUCUAGAUAGCUGAGUUCUGUGGUUCUAAGAUGAAUAGCUAGUUCUAGCUUUAAUGUGGAAUUGAGAACAUGGUGUUUUGGGUAGGUGAGAGACAGAAAAUCAUGAUAUGUUAGAACUGGAAGCACCGUGUUUCCUAAAUGAGGGAAAGGGGAGAGGAUGUAGGUAUUGGUGAUGAGGAAAUCAGUCAGGAGACAGUUACCAGUGGAUGCGAAGAAGGAUAAGGGCACCAGAAAUGGAGGUGCGACUACAAAGUGGUAAAAGAACAUUGACCACCUGCUCAGGGCCAACGACCUGAAGGCAAGCAGGUCAAAGCAGGGAGUUCCUGGCAGGUGAAAUUUAUGACAAGAUAGAGUGCUUGUUGCAGUGUCUAUUCUUUUCUUUUUUAGAGACAGGGUCUCAUUCUGUCACUCAGUCUGCAGUGCAGUGGCUGCAUCAUGGCUCACUGCAGCCUUGGCCACCUGGGCUCAAGCAGUCCUCACACCUCAGCCUCCCCGGUUGAUGUGACUGCAGGCAUGUGCCACCAUGCCCAGCCUAGUGUCUGUUCUUCAGGUUAGCAAGAGCAGGGUGGGUCUAGGGCUCUGAGCAGGACUGGCUGAUUAAAUGUCUUAUUCACACUGCGGAAGCUUUUCCCUCGCAUGAGAGCAAGGGAUAAGCCCACAUCCUGUGUGGCCUCUGGAUGCCCUUUGAAACUGUAUCUGAGUUCCAGCUUAGGGAGCUAGAGCCACUGGGAGGGCAGAGCAGGCACGGGAGGGUCAGAGUUGCCAGCCUUCCUUUGGUUCCACAGGUUUAAGGGACAGAAUUUGCUUCAGUGGCUUUGUCCCCACCGGGUCUCAUUCCCACAUUCACACCCACAGGGUGACACUCGGAAUGCGUGGAAGGAGGAGCCAGGGUGUUGGGACAGGGCAGGCUGGGGGCAAGGCCAGUUUUCUACCCCAAGGACCUGCGAGGGGGUGGCACGCAUUCAGCCCCUGCCUGUGUCUCUGGUCUGGAAGGAAUUGUUGGCAUUAAAGGAUGUGCCAAGGGCUAGGCACACUCAGGGAGCAGGGAGCAAGUGGGAGGCAUAGGAGAGGAUGCUGCACAGGGUGCUGGGGGCAUGCGCAGCCGCUCACCUGACCUGCUGGACAGGCCUUGGCUCAGGCACUGGCCUGCGACCAGCACAGGCGGAUCAGAUUGGUCUCCCAGUCAGGAGUUAGGAAGUUGAGGAUCAGGAGUUACUGGAUUACCUAGAAUACUCAGACUUAAAAAGCAAGCUGAGAAACUUUCUGUGUGUGCUUAGAUGUGGACAUGUAAAGGCCUUGAUGGAAA
Cercocebus atys (sooty mangabey) is the source of this 5698-nucleotide RNA transcript. It is a transcript of the gene named protein tyrosine phosphatase, non-receptor type 18 (brain-derived), with no coding region annotated. NCBI's taxonomy places the organism in Eukaryota, Metazoa, Chordata, Mammalia, Primates, Cercopithecidae. The transcript is spliced from 17 exons. The record is from RefSeq and is a predicted model, not a curated record.